GACGUAGGGUGCAAGCGUUGUCCGGAAUUAUUGGGCGUAAAGAGCUCGUAGGCGGUUCAUUGCGUCAAUCGUGAAAUCCUGUGGCUCAACUACAGGCUUGCGGUUGAUACGGGUGGGCUGGAGUUCGGUAGGGGAGACUGGAAUUCCUGGUGUAGCGGUGAAAUGCGCAGAUAUCAGGAGGAACACCGGUGGCGAAGGCGGGUCUCUGGGCCGAUACUGACGCUGAGGAGCGAAAGCGUGGGGAGCGAACAGG
RNAcentral lists this ribosomal RNA (253 nucleotides) under uncultured bacterium. RNAcentral describes it as "partial 16S ribosomal RNA". It matches the Rfam family "Bacterial small subunit ribosomal RNA", at positions 524 to 776 of the family's 1533-position model. The record is from RNAcentral.